RNAcentral lists this ribosomal RNA (484 nucleotides) under Khuskia sp. E29. RNAcentral describes it as "eukaryotic LSU rRNA". It matches the Rfam family "Eukaryotic large subunit ribosomal RNA", at positions 145 to 650 of the family's 3401-position model. Lineage: Eukaryota; Fungi; Ascomycota; Sordariomycetes; Trichosphaeriales; Trichosphaeriaceae. The record is from RNAcentral.
GUAAUUUGUAGAGGAUGCUUUUGGUGCGGUGCCUUCCGAGUUCCCUGGAACGGGACGCCUUAGAGGGUGAGAGCCCCGUACGGUUGGACGCCUAGCCUCUGUAAAGCUCCUUCGACGAGUCGAGUAGUUUGGGAAUGCUGCUCUAAAUGGGAGGUAUAUUUCUUCUAAAGCUAAAUACUGGCCAGAGACCGAUAGCGCACAAGUAGAGUGAUCGAAAGAUGAAAAGCACUUUGAAAAGAGGGUUAAAUAGCACGUGAAAUUGUUGAAAGGGAAGCGUUUAUCACCAGACUUUUUCUAGGGGGAUCAUCCGGUGUUCUCACCGGUGCACUUCCCCUAGUUGAGGCCAGCAUCGGUUUUCGGAGGGGGAUAAAAGUUUCGGGAAUGUGACUCCCCCGGGAGUGUUAUAGCCCGUUACAUAAUACCCUUCUGGGGACCGAGGUUCGCGCAUCUGCAAGGAUGCUGGCAUAAUGGUGAUCAACGACCC